This 274-nucleotide ribosomal RNA is filed under the name uncultured bacterium. RNAcentral's name for it is "partial 16S ribosomal RNA". It matches the Rfam family "Bacterial small subunit ribosomal RNA", at positions 523 to 796 of the family's 1533-position model. The record is from RNAcentral.
AUACAGAGGGUGCAAGCGUUAAUCGGAAUUACUGGGCGUAAAGAGUACGUAGGCGGUUUGGUAAGUCAGAUGUGAAAGCCCUGAGCUCAACUUGGGAACUGCAUUUGAAACUGCCUGACUAGAGUGUGAUAGAGGAUAGUGGAAUUUCCGGUGUAGCGGUGAAAUGCGUAGAGAUCGGAAGGAACACCAGUGGCGAAGGCGGCUAUCUGGAUCAACACUGACGCUGAGGUACGAAAGCGUGGGGAGCAAUCAGGAUUAGAAACCCCGGUAGUCC